Molecule: ribosomal RNA, 612 nt
Filed under: uncultured marine eukaryote
Lineage: Eukaryota
Description: SSU rRNA
Rfam family: Eukaryotic small subunit ribosomal RNA
Source: RNAcentral
GGUGAAAAAGCUCGUAGUUGGAUUUCUGUUGAGGACGGCCGGUCCGCACUAUGUGCGUGUAUCUGGUUCGGCCUCGGCAUCCUCUCGAAAGCCGUUUCUGCGCUUGAUUGCGUGGUUCGGACUUCGGGACUUUUACUUUGAGGAAAUUAGAGUGUUCACGGCAGGCAAGCGCCUUGAAUAUAUUAGCAUGGAAUAAUAAUAUAGGAUCUUGGUCCUAUUUUGUUGGUUUCUAGGGCUAAGAUAAUGAUUAAUAGGGACAAUUGGGGGCACUCGUAUUAACGCGUCAGAGGUGGAAUUCUUGGAUUGCGUUACGACGAACUACUGCGAAAGCAUUUGCCAAGGAUGUUUUCAUUGAUCAAGAACGAAAGUAAGGGGAUCGAAGAUGAUUAGAUACCGUCGUUGUCUUUACCAUAAACUAUGCCAACUAGAGAUGGGGCUGCGGUUUAUUUAUGACCCGCUCCGCACCUUAUGAGAAAUCAAAGUUUUUGGGUUCCGGGGGGAGUAUGGUCGCAAGGCUGAAACUUAAAGGAAUUGACGGAAGGGCACCACCAGGAGUGGAGCCUGCGGCUUAAUUUGACUCAAUACGGGAAAACUCACCAGGUCCAGACAUAG